GUUUCACCAUGUUGGCCAGGCUGGUUUCGAACUCCUGACCUCAGGUGAUCUGCCCAUCUUGGCCUCCCAGGGUUCUAGGAUUACAGGCGUGAGCCACUGUGCUUGGCCACCUUUUUUGUUUUCCGUGUAAUCUUCAUAGUCAUCUUUCUUUUGUUGUUACUUUUAAUCCUCCUUGAAUUAGCGUUCAUGUACAACAUCCUCUUAGGAGCCACAUUUUAGUGCAUGGUGAUUAUCUUGCUUUUUCCGUUACAGCCUCUGAGUGUAUGAAAUAGGCAUCUCACCAGCCCUGAGGCUGUCAGAUCUGAGAGUUAGCUUUAAACAAGUCGCUAUUAAAACUGCUUUCUCUUGUAAACAUUUAAGAGACUGCUCUCCUUCACUGAGACUGUCUGAGUACUCUGUCUGUGUUUAUUGGCUCCAGCUGCUAUUUAUUGUCCUGUAGCGUAUCUCUUGAAGAGGCAAGGUAACAUAGUUGUUAGGAGUGUGGUUUUUACAUCUUUACUGCCUGGGAUCAAAUCCUAGCUCGGUUAUGUUUACUAGCAUUUUCCUCAUAGUAAAAGAAUAGUGUUUACUUUAUAUGAUCAUGGUUAAGAUUCACUAAAUUCAUACAUAUACUUGGAACCUUAGUAAGUAAUAAAUUUUGAAUUAAUCACAAAGAAGGCUAACUAAUAGAAUGAAAGGAACGUUUCAGGCAGAGACAUCUGUAAAGAUACAGAGGUUUGACAUUUCAUGGUGCAUUUUGUUAACUGGGCUUUCAGAGUGGCUCUUGCUCAGAAGAAGGUGAAGCUGUGUAGGGUGGGUUGAGUACCAUUAUUAGAGGUGUGGACUUUAAGCAGUUGGGAACAUUAAAAAAUAUUUUUUCACAGCAUACCAUUUCAUUCAUUUCUAUUUAUACGAAUUUGUCUUUAUCACCUCUUCCUGCCACAGAAACUGACAUAUACGGUGUUCUCAGUAAAUCUGUUUGAGUACAUGAGUAAUUGCUUUAGAAAAACCAAUCAUUCACACAGUGUUCUCCCGUUAGAUCCAGCUGGAGAAGAGCUACAGGAAAAAAAAGGCCUGCUCCAUGUACAUCAGUUUGGUCAGUUCUGUGUUGUCUAACUAGCAUUUUAUUGAUUGAAAACCUUCAUUAGCUGGUGCUUCCACAUUUUGAUAAGAACUGAUGUUCCUAAUGAUGAUCCUGGAGCACUGAAAGGUUCUGAUUUGUCUUCUGAAUCAUCAAAGCAAAAUUAUGUGGCAUUAUUUAACAGCUUGUAAAAUGAAUGUGGGAGUGUUGACUUGAGAUUGUGUAGAUUGAGUGGGGAGGAAGAUUAGGACAUUAAUCAAGGCACAUGGUAUUGGUUUGAAUGGAGGGGGA
Long non-coding RNA from Sapajus apella (tufted capuchin), 1351 nucleotides. RefSeq lists it as uncharacterized. NCBI's taxonomy places the organism in Eukaryota, Metazoa, Chordata, Mammalia, Primates, Cebidae. The transcript is spliced from 2 exons. The record is from RefSeq and is a predicted model, not a curated record.